This 736-nucleotide ribosomal RNA is filed under the name uncultured bacterium. RNAcentral's name for it is "partial 16S ribosomal RNA". The record is from RNAcentral.
AGAGUUUGAUCCAUGGCAUCAGGACGAACGCUGGCGGCGUAGCUUAACACAUAGCCAAGCUCGGACGGUGCAAGCCCGCUAUANCGGGUAGCGAGGAUCACGUGGCGAACNGGNGUAGAGUAACACGUAGACGUAACCUAGCACCNUAUCACUCUAGGCGAUAACGUCCGUGCGAAACCUAGGGGCUAAAUACUAGGAUAAUAGAACGCGUAAACUCAGGGCGAUACACGGAUAGUAAGGAGUAGNGCACAAGGAAUAUUAUAUGGUAGGGUGAGGAGUAAGGCGGAAACCGUUACCCAGGCCCNGNCGGNACACGCCGCUUAAAGUUUCCCCAAGGANCAGUUACUAGNGGNACUAUAACACNCAGGGUAACAGGAACCGCCGGGUNAAACAACNUACAGGNGGCCCUUUACCCAAAACCCCANAACACGACGGCCAGGAAAACCGGAAAGCCCANGCGGAGGUUCAAAGGGCNCGCACCGUGGAGACCACCUAGGNCACGAGGCAAACGCAGGCGAGGCCACGGAAGUUCCCGGGGANCCCCAACAGCCGUAGCCCUUACGGCGGCAGGAAAGCGUUAAGGNACAGGNAACCCANAUAAGCCCUNGAGAGGUGUCAGACCCAGACCCCACAAAANGGAAAAACACCUUUNACCCCGCACCGUUUUNAANAGCCAGCGACAGGGGCGAGGCAAACCCGGGACGAGCCCCCACAAAUAUGCGCCGACNAAGAGGGU